Molecule: ribosomal RNA, 450 nt
Filed under: uncultured bacterium
Lineage: Bacteria
Description: bacterial SSU rRNA
Rfam family: Bacterial small subunit ribosomal RNA
Source: RNAcentral
AAUGAACGUUGGCGGCGUGGAUUAGGCAUGCAAGUCGAGUGGGUUUAGGCCCACGGCGGAAGGGACAGUAACACGUGGAUGACUUACCCUCGGGUUUGGGAUAACCAUGGGAAACUAUGGAUAAUACCGAAUAACAUCUCCGGAUCAAAGAUUUAUCACCCGAGGAGAGGUCCGCGUCCUAUUAGCUAGUUGGCGGGGUAAAGGCCCACCAAGGCAACGAUGGGUAGCGGGUGUGAGAGCAUGACCCGCGUCACUGGGACUGAGACACUGCCCAGACACCUACGGGUGGCUGCAGUCGAGGAUCUUCGGCAAUGGGCGAAAGCCUGACCGAGCGACGCCGCGUGCGGGAUGAAGGCCUUCGGGUUGUAAACCGCUGUGGUGGGGGAGGAAAACUUGACCUAUCCCACUAGAAAGCACGGGCUAAGUUCGUGCCAGCAGCCGCCGUAAAAC